AUUGAACGCUGGCGGCAGGCCUAACACAUGCAAGUCGAACGAGUGGCGGACGGGUGAGUAAUGUCUGGGAAACUGCCUGAUGGUGGGGGAUAACUACUGUACACGGUAGCUAAUACCGCAUACCAUCAGAUGUGCCCAGAUGGGAUUAGCUAGUUGGUGGGGUAAGGGCUCACCAAGGCGACGAUCCCUAGCUGGUCUGAUAGGAUGACCAGCCACACUAGAACGGAGACACGGACCAGACUCCUACGGGAGGCAGGAGUGGGGAAUAUAGCACAAGGGGCGCAAGCCUGAUGCAACCAUGCCGCGUGUAUGAAGGAGGCCUUCGGGUUGUAAAGUACUUUCAGCGGGGAGUAGUUACCCGCAGAAGAAGCACCGGCUAACUCCGUGCCAGCAGCCGCGGUAAUAC
RNAcentral lists this ribosomal RNA (406 nucleotides) under uncultured bacterium. RNAcentral describes it as "partial 16S ribosomal RNA". It matches the Rfam family "Bacterial small subunit ribosomal RNA", at positions 30 to 526 of the family's 1533-position model. The record is from RNAcentral.